AGUAGUUGAUCAUGGCUCAGGACAACGGCUGGCGGCGUGCUUAACACAUGCAAGUCGAACGGGGAGUAUUGAAGAAGCUUGCUUUAGAGAUACUUUAGUGGCGACGGGUGAGUAACACGUGAGGAGCUGUCCAAUGCAGGGGGACAACAGUUGGAAACGACUGCUAAUACCCCAUAAGCCGAGAGGUAAAAGGAUUUAUCCGGCAGAGGAGGUACUCGCGUCCUAUCAGCUAGUAGGUGAGGUAACGGCUCACCUAGGCGAAGACGGGUAGCCGGCCUGAGAGGGCGAACGGCCACACUGGAACUGAGAUACGGUCCAGACUCCUACGGGAGGCAGCAGUGGGAAUAUUGGGCAAUGGGGGAACCCUGACCCAGCGACGCCGCGUGGGUGAAGAAAUCCUUCGGGAUGUAAAGCCCUGUUGUAUGGGAAGAGCGGAAGACGGUACCAUACGAGGAAGCCCCGGCAAACUACGUG
Molecule: ribosomal RNA, 474 nt
Filed under: uncultured bacterium
Lineage: Bacteria
Description: bacterial SSU rRNA
Rfam family: Bacterial small subunit ribosomal RNA
Source: RNAcentral